This 601-nucleotide ribosomal RNA is filed under the name Pelophylax chosenicus (Seoul frog). RNAcentral's name for it is "partial large subunit ribosomal RNA". It matches the Rfam family "Bacterial large subunit ribosomal RNA", at positions 1795 to 2622 of the family's 2925-position model. The record is from RNAcentral. Lineage: Eukaryota; Metazoa; Chordata; Amphibia; Anura; Ranidae.
UUCGCCUGGUUUUUCAAAAACAUCGCCUCUUGAUUAAACAUAAGAGGUCCAGCCUGCCCAGUGACAUAGUUUAACGGCCGCGGUACCCUAACCGUGCGAAGGUAGCAUAAUCACUUGUUCUUUAAAUAGGGACUCGUAUCAACGGCAUCACGAGGGCUAUACUGUCUCCUUUCUCCAAUCAAUGAAACUGAUCUCCCCGUGAAGAAGCGGGGAUUAACCUAUAAGACGAGAAGACCCCAUGGAGCUUCAAACUCAACAUAUACCUCUACGCACUUAAACCACUUUAGCCCAAGAGACCUCUAUGUUAGUUUUGGGUUGGGGGGACCGCGGAGUAAAAAUUAACCUCCACGACAAACGGGCUUUAUGCCCUUAUCCACGAACCACAGCUCUAAGAAUCAAUAAACUGAUGUUUAUGACCCGAUUAUUCGAUCAACGAACCAAGUUACCCUGGGGAUAACAGCGCAAUCUACUUCAAGAGCCCCUAUCGACAAGUAGGUUUACGACCUCGAUGUUGGAUCAGGGUAUCCUAGUGGUGCAGCCGCUACUAAUGGUUCGUUUGUUCAACGAUUAAAACCCUACGUGAUCUGUUCCAAAACCCGGA